RNAcentral lists this ribosomal RNA (803 nucleotides) under uncultured bacterium. RNAcentral's name for it is "bacterial SSU rRNA". It matches the Rfam family "Bacterial small subunit ribosomal RNA", at positions 8 to 796 of the family's 1533-position model. The record is from RNAcentral.
AGAGUUUGAUCAUGGCUCAGAACGAACGCUGGCGGCAGGCUUCAUACAUGCAAGUCGAGCGCUUGAUGUCCUUCGGGGCAAAGAGAGCGGCGAACGGGUGAGUAACAGGUGGAUAAUCUGCCUUCUGGUGGGGGACAACGGCUGGAAACGGCCGCUAAUACCGCGUAUGGUUGUUUCUCCGCAUGAAGAAACAAAGAAAGGCGCCUUUAAAGCGUCGCCAGAAGAUGAGUCCGCCUCCCAUUAGCUAGUUGGUGAGAUAACAGCCCACCAAGGCGACGAUGGGUAGCCGAGCUGAGAGGUUGAUCGGCCACACUGGGACUGAGAUACGGCCCAGACACCUACGGGUGGCAGCAGUAGGGAAUAUUGGACAAUGGGCGAAAGCCUGAUCCAGCCAUGCCGCGUGGGGGACGAAGGCCUUCGGGUCGUAAACCCCUUUUCUGAGGGAAGAACAGUUGGGGUAGGAAAUGAUCCUGAUUUGACGGUACCUCAGGAAUAAGCAACGGCAAACUCCGUGCCAGCAGCCGCGGUAAUACGGAGGUUGCGAGCGUUGUUCGGAUUAACUGGACGUAAAGGGGGCGCAGGCGGCCUGAUCUGUCUGGGGUGAAAGCCCGGGGCUCAACCUCGGAAUUGCCUUGGAUACUGUCAGGCUUGAGUGUGUGAGAGGAGAGUGGAAUUCCUGGUGUAGCGGUGAAAUGCGUAGAUAUCAGGAGGAACACCGGUGGCGAAAGCGGCUCUCUGGCACAUUACUGACGCUGAGGCCCGAAAGCGUGGGGAGCAAACAGGAUUAGAUACCCUAGUAGUCC